RNAcentral lists this ribosomal RNA (807 nucleotides) under uncultured Alphaproteobacteria bacterium. Its description in RNAcentral is "bacterial SSU rRNA". It matches the Rfam family "Bacterial small subunit ribosomal RNA", at positions 34 to 874 of the family's 1533-position model. The record is from RNAcentral. Lineage: Bacteria; Pseudomonadati; Pseudomonadota; Alphaproteobacteria.
CGCUGGCGGCACGCCUAACACAUGCAAGUCGAGCGAGAAACUAAACUUCGGUUUAGCGGAAAGCGGCGGACGGGUGAGUAACGCGUGGGAAUUUACCAAAGAGUGGGGAACAACUGCUGGAAACGGCAGCUAAUACCGCAUACGCCCUAUGGGGGAAAGGCUUCGGCCGCUCUUUGAGAAGCCCGCGUACGAUUAGUUUGUUGGUGGGGUAAUGGCCUACCAAGACUACGAUCGUUAGCUGGUCUGAGAGGACGAUCAGCCACACUGGGACUGAGACACGGCCCAGACUCCUACGGGAGGCAGCAGUGGGGAAUAUUGGACAAUGGGCGAAAGCCUGAUCCAGCGAUGCCGCGUGAGUGAAGAAGGCCCUAGGGUUGUAAAGCUCUUUCGGUGGGGAAGAUAAUGACGGUACCCACAAAAGAAGCCCCGGCUAACUCCGUGCCAGCAGCCGCGGUAAUACGGAGGGGGCUAGCGUUACUCGGAAUUACUGGGCGUAAAGCGAGCGUAGGCGGUUAAUCAAGUUGGGGGUGAAAGCCCGGGGCUCAACCCCGGAAAUGCCCUCAAAACUAGUUAGCUAGAGGACGGGAGAGGGGAGUGGAACUCCCAGUGUAGAGGUGAAAUUCGUAGAUAUUGGGAAGAACACCAGUGGCGAAGGCGACUCUCUGGACCGUUUCUGACGCUAAGGCUCGAAAGCGUGGGUAGCAAACAGGAUUAGAUACCCUGGUAGUCCACGCCGUAAACGAUGAGUGCUAGACGUUGGGGGGAACGCCCUUCAGUGUCGUCGCUAACGCAUUAAGCACUCCGCCU